Small nuclear RNA from Arvicanthis niloticus (Nile rat), 107 nucleotides. Lineage: Eukaryota; Metazoa; Chordata; Mammalia; Rodentia; Muridae. The record is from RefSeq and is a predicted model, not a curated record.
AUGCUCACUUCUGGAUCACAUAUCCUAAAAUUGGAACAAUAUAGAGAAGAUUAGCAUGAACUUUGCUCAAGGAUGACAUGCAAAUUCAUGAAAAAAUUCUUAUUGUU